GUGGUAAAAUGGCUGAGUAGGCAUUAGGCUGUAAACCUAAAGACAGAGGGUCUAAUCCUCUUUUUACCA
RNAcentral lists this transfer RNA (69 nucleotides) under Papio cynocephalus (Yellow baboon). RNAcentral's name for it is "tRNA-Tyr". It matches the Rfam family "tRNA". Rfam says of the family: Transfer RNA (tRNA) molecules are approximately 80 nucleotides in length. The record is from RNAcentral. Lineage: Eukaryota; Metazoa; Chordata; Mammalia; Primates; Cercopithecidae.